UUCAUCCAAAAGGUCAGCCGAUGAUCUUGAAAUGAGACAUGCCCUGCUAUAUUAAUCCAAAUAAACCGAUAAGUACAAUAUCUAAAUCAAUGUUCGAAUUGCAUAUACAGCAAAUUAUGAUUCAACAACCCUUCACGAUAGAUGAAUAUAUAUACACGAUUAUUUACAGCAAUUACCAAGCUAACGGAAAACUAAACCACCUAAACUUAUGUAAUGCAAUGCAGAUCCAUCUAAAUCAUCUAGCAGACCGGAGUCAAUCGCAACAAACUUCACCACCUUCUUCAAUGCGAAAUGCAAGCAAUUCGACAUCGCGAUCCAACACAAAACCUCGUUGUUGUUCGGCUACUUCGGAUGGCGCGUUCUCACCGGACGGCUGAAAAUCAAGGGCGGCGAUGGUGGUUUGUGGUCAACCACCGGACGGCUGUUUCCGAUGGUGAUUUCACCAAAUCGGAAACUAAUUUUUGCUAUAAUUUCGAACAUACCUCUAUCAAACGGUUCAAACGUCUUCUCGAAACCUUGAACUUCUUCUUCAAAUCUUCUGAAAAUUUUUUGAAGCAGAGAUUAUGGCCGUUCGAAACCCUAUUCUAGAUGGAAGUUAAUCAGCUAGAAUAAUGGAGAGUAAAAUACGGAACUUCUGAAUUUACCUUCCGUGGAAAUUUCCCAAAAA
Molecule: long non-coding RNA, 667 nt
Filed under: Salvia miltiorrhiza (redroot sage)
Lineage: Eukaryota; Viridiplantae; Streptophyta; Magnoliopsida; Lamiales; Lamiaceae
Description: long non-coding RNA (SMIL_LNC000912)
Source: RNAcentral